AAGCAACCUAAUAUAGUAUGAUAUUGAUCCGGUUGGGGAUUUCGGCCUUUCAAAAUUGAAGCAUUCAACCUUUUUAUCUGCUAGAUCCGGGGGAGGGACGCCUCAAUGGAUAGCACAUGAAGUUCUUCGUAACGAACCUUCAAACGAGCUGUAAGAUUCAGUUAGCAUCUUGAAAUUAGUCAAUUGAGAAUAUGAGUUCCAAGAUAAUAUAAACUUUUACUGCAUUCAACAUUUUAAUCGUUUUAUUUCAAAAUAAUAUUAUUUUUGAAAAAGUAGACUAUUUCACACACCAAAAAAAUUGUUAAGAAAUAAAUUAUUGGUUCAUGGCAGAAAGUCCUUCGGGUUAUCCCAACCCGAAACAUUUGAGAAUAUGGUUGUCUUUAAAGGCAAAUAGUGUUGUUGUUAUUAUUUUUAUUAUUUUGUUUUGAUUAUUUUUGGGUGAGCUGGGAUUGAAGUUUGGGGAUUAUUGAUUCAUCUUAUUCAUGAGAUGAAUCUGAUGGUGAAGUUUAUGUAUAUCUUCUUGGUGUUGCAAGCGUACGCCAUUGUUGGUUCUUUGGUUGUUCAAGAAUCUUCAGGUGAUCAUUUCCAUUUUUACCCUUCUCAAAGUUUUGUUUUUUUAGCUUAUGAUUUAAAUCUACCAUGAUAUUCAUCAGGUUGGGGAUUUCGGUCUUUUAAAAUUGAAGCAUGCAACCUUUUUAUCUGCUAGAUCCGGGGAGGGACGCCUCAAUGGAUGGCACCUGAAGUUCUUCGUAACGAACCUUCAAACGAGAAGUAUACGCCAUUGUUGGUUCUUUGGUUGUUCAAGAAUCUUCAGGUGAUAUUAAUUCUAGGAAUUAUUGUUGUCACACCCCCAAAAUCCCACACGCGGAGUACCACCGCUUGGGAGCGUGACAUGACCAGGAUCUUAACCACCAAUCAUAUUGAACCUGUAAUAUAGUUAAGUA
Long non-coding RNA from Helianthus annuus (common sunflower), 944 nucleotides. RefSeq lists it as uncharacterized. The record is from RefSeq and is a predicted model, not a curated record. NCBI's taxonomy places the organism in Eukaryota, Viridiplantae, Streptophyta, Magnoliopsida, Asterales, Asteraceae. The transcript has 4 exons.